Molecule: ribosomal RNA, 253 nt
Filed under: uncultured bacterium
Lineage: Bacteria
Description: partial 16S ribosomal RNA
Rfam family: Bacterial small subunit ribosomal RNA
Source: RNAcentral
UACGUGGGGGGCAAGCGUUGUUCGGAAUUACUGGGCGUAAAGGGCGCGUAGGCGGCCUUCUAAGUCGGACGUGAAAUCCCUCGGCUUAACCGAGGAACUGCGUCUGAUACUGAAAGGCUUGAAUCCGGGAGAGGGAUGUGGAAUUCCAGGUGUAGCGGUGAAAUGCGUAGAUAUCUGGAGGAACACCGGUGGCGAAGGCGGCAUCCUGGACCGGUAUUGACGCUGAGGCGCGAAAGCUAGGGGAGCAAACGGG